UACGUAGGGACCGAGCGUUGUCCGGAAUCAUUGGGCGUAAAGAGCGUGUAGGCGGCUUGCUAAGUCUUGCGUGAAAUCUCGGGGCUCAACCCCGAGCGGUCGUGGGAAACUGGCAGGCUAGAGUGCGGGAGAGGAGAAUGGAAUUCCUGGUGUAGCGGUGAAAUGCGCAGAUAUCAGGAAGAACACCCGUGGCGAAGGCGGUUCUCUGGAACGCAACUGACGCUGAGGAGCGAAAGCAUGGGUAGCGAACAGG
RNAcentral lists this ribosomal RNA (253 nucleotides) under uncultured bacterium. RNAcentral describes it as "partial 16S ribosomal RNA". It matches the Rfam family "Bacterial small subunit ribosomal RNA", at positions 524 to 776 of the family's 1533-position model. The record is from RNAcentral.